GUCCGUGGCCAUACCACCUUGAGUGCUCCUGAUCUCGUGUGCUCUCGGAAGCCAAGCAGGUCUGGACCUGGUUAGUACUUGGAUGGGCGAUUCAGUAUUUAUUUCAACUCUGAAU
This 115-nucleotide ribosomal RNA is filed under the name Aotus nancymaae (Ma's night monkey). The record is from RNAcentral. Lineage: Eukaryota; Metazoa; Chordata; Mammalia; Primates; Aotidae.